This is an RNA transcript of Diachasma alloeum, 3040 nucleotides long. It is a transcript of the gene named proton channel OtopLc, with no coding region annotated. The transcript is spliced from 3 exons. The record is from RefSeq and is a predicted model, not a curated record. Lineage: Eukaryota; Metazoa; Arthropoda; Insecta; Hymenoptera; Braconidae.
CUCUUUUCCGCAAUCAUAACGUAAUAUACUAUUUUGAAACACAUGCUUGGAAAAGUUCCUUUUUAGUCCCUUCAUUAUGGCAGCAUCCUAAUGAGCGACAUAUAUGUAACGACACCAAACUGUUUUUUUAAACUUAGAUUCAACAUACAAUCGUUUUUCGACUGUUUCAUUUUUCCCCAUGUUUUAUUUUGCCCCAUUGUUUCAUUGUGCCCCACUUUCCCUUAUCAAAAUGCAUUCAAAGUAACUUAAUUAUAAAAGAAAAGACUGAAAGAUACCAGUCCUUUGAUGACCUAAUGACAUUUUUUUUCUUGAAUAUUCCGCAAAUUCACUCUCAACCCUUAAACUGCUCACUUUUUUUUGACCCCCCUUUACUUGUACACAAUUUUUUAUAACGCAUAAUAUAUCUCUCAUUUAGUUCUUCAAAUACAAAUUAAUAGAUUAAAAGUGUUGAAUACGGGAAAAAUAAAAACAAAAUUCCCUCUAAAUUAGUUUUUAGGAUAUGAGCAUUUCAAUCCUUAUUUUUCAAGAUACGAAUAUUUCCAUGAAGCCUCUUAUACUUGAGAUAUAUACCAAUUCAUGAUUAUAUUUAAUGAUUAUAUUUACAACCUCAAAAUUUAAAAAAAUCAAUUUUAAUGAAAAUUUGUUUGUCGGAGAUUCUUUUGACUGAAUUCUGUUCCUGAAAAAAUUGCAACAACAAUCGCGAAAAAUCCGUCAACGAAAUCUUCAACAAAAAAAUUUCCAGUCAAAAACGGGCUCAAUCAAGGUAUAGUGUCACCCUUGUGACCCUCGUGACCCUAGCGACUCCUUUUUUGUGACCCUCCCUUGUGACCAUACCUUAAGUUUUGAGAACACCCCAUGCAUAAUCGGAAGGUCCCGGAUUCAAAUCCCGGUCUGAACUAUAUACAAUUUUUUCAGAAAAUUUUUCUUGUAAACUAAUAUUGAGAAUUAUCCUGGUUUCCCUCCCCCCUACUCCAAAAUCCUAUCCAACAAUAUCCUGUGACUUUUGUGAAAAAUACCCAUAAUUCAGAAGAAAUAAUGGAGAUAGAAUUUUUUCAUUAUUUUUUCCGUAAUCCUGGAGAAAAAUGGUAUGGAAAACAUAUGUUAAAUCGUGGUGUCAAAGGAAUUGUAAUCAUGCCAGCACUAUAACCUGAGGGCCAAAUAGCCUCCGAAACCAACUUUUCGCCUCAGCACUCUUACUAUCAGCCCAUUUCAGAUGAGCAAAUCUCCCAAGCAGUGACUCUACAAGAAUGUCUCAACGCAAACACUCUUGGUCAGCUAUGGAUCUCCAGCAUGCCUUUUCUCUAUCCCUUCAUCGUGCAAUUCAGCCUCAUAGCCGCAGCUGUGACCUUCGUAAUGGGUCAAAACGUAGGAAAAAGCCGAUACGGCCACAAACAGAAAUUUCACAGUAUGAAGGACGUAACAAGACAGACAAGGAUUGGAUGUGAUAGUUCUUCCAAAGGUCUUUUCCUUGGUAUCCUCAGCAUGACUGCUGGGAUUGUAGUUAUACUAAUUUUCCUCGUUGUGAGAGAGGAUGAUAAUUUUCCACCGGCGACCCUCUCGUGGCUAACCACUGGCACUUUAAUUGGAAUUCUUGCGUUGAGCGGAAUGAUGACAGCCAGUGGACUUGUACAGGUCAGGCAAAUGUCGAUAGUCUCAAGGAUUCCCCCAUCACAUGACAACAUUUUAGCCACUCUUUCUCUCUUUGGUGUUCAACUUUACUGUAUUUUCACAAUCGUCGUUUGUGGCUGUGCAUUAGUAAGUAAAAAAAUCGAAGAUCAAAUUGAUGGUGACACAAGAGGCAGAUACGUGAUGCUGUUAAUUGCUUCGGUGCUUCAAUUGGUUGAGUGUUUUGCGCAAAGUACACUCAUUGCAGAGGCAUCAAGGAGGUCUUGCAUCACGCGCUAUCAAAUGAUGACUAAACCCUCAAGACAAGUUAUCACAUUCUUACUGUUCAGUAAUGCUGUCCUCUGGGCAUUUGAUACUGUAAUUACGCAAAAUUGGAUAACGCAAGAGCUGCAGUUGAGGUUCUUCGGAGUACUAGCAUGGGGCAUUAUAUCAAGGAUAUGUCUGCCAUUGCUCAUAUUUUAUAGGUUUCAUAGUUUUGUACUAUUGCUGGAAGCGUGGAGCAAGUGUUAUAGGGUACCUAGGGGACAUCUCACCAUCAACUGACUUCAGAUGAUACUCAGAAACAUAAAGUGAAACAUAAACAAUUACCACAUCACAAUCAUCACUAGAGAACAAAGCGUCCAAUAAUCCAUUCAGAUACGAUUACCGAGGAUCCUUUUCUCAAUGAAUACCCAAAUAGCCUUAUUUAUAAUUCUGACCAUGACCAAGUAUAUUACCUUCAUCGUCCCGUCGACACCGCAAGUUGUUUCUACUUCGGCACAAAUCCGGUCAUAACAUUCAUCACGCCACCUUCGAGUUCUUCAUUUCAUCAUCACUCGCACCAACAUGGUCAUCACAAUUGUCACCGAAGAGGUAUUAAUUUAGACAAUUCCAUUGUUGACCAGUACCAUGAAAAAACUAUCGGCAAGGAAAUUGGUAGUCUUCACGAGACCGAACCAAGGACAUCAACCUUUAGAAAAGUGCCAUGGCACCCAAACCUUCACAUGCUUAAAAUAAGACCUUGACUUGAUUAUUUUCUAAUAUUCAGCUUAAAUCGUUUAUUUAUAAGUUUAUCACUUUCUUUUUCUUUAAGGAAAAGUUAUCUGACUUCUGAUUUACUUUUUCCUUUCUUUCUACUAACUAAGGUAGUAAAGUAAUAAUAAAUAAGUAGUAAAAGUAAUAACCAAUAGAAAAGAAAGUCAUGUACAUUUGAACUUCCAAGUAAAACGUGCAAUAUUACUUCUAGAUUUGUUUUUCUUAAUAAAGACUACAGACAUGACCAAAGUUAUGCUGAUUGCUUAUUGUAAAACCUUUAGUAUCGAACUCUGUGGGUACUUGAUUAGGUGGUUACUGGCUAAAUUUAUUUGUGUACAGGUUAGUAAUGUAUUCAUUCCAUGUUUGUUGUUUGUUUGAUGAAAUAAACAUAUAAAUAAGA